Molecule: ribosomal RNA, 964 nt
Filed under: uncultured marine bacterium
Lineage: Bacteria
Description: bacterial SSU rRNA
Rfam family: Bacterial small subunit ribosomal RNA
Source: RNAcentral
UGCAAGUCGAACGCAGUAGCAAUACUGAGUGGCAAACGGGUGAGUAUAAUGUGGGAAUCUGCCUUUUGGUUUGGAAUAACACGGGGAAACUUGUGCUAAUACCGAAUAAGCCUUCACAGGGAAAGUUUUAAUGCCGAAAGAUGAGCCUGCACUUGAUUAGCUAGUUGGUAAGGUAAAAGCUUACCAAGGCAACGAUCAAUAGCUGUUCUUAGAGGAAGACCAGCCACAUUGGGACUGAGACACGGCCCAGACUCCUACGGGAGGCAGCAGUGGGGAAUCUUGCACAAUGGGGGAAACCCUGAUGCAGCGAUGCCGCGUGAGUGAAGAAGGCCCUUGGGUUGUAAAACUCUUUCGUCGGGGAAGAAAAUGACUGUACCCGAAUAAGAAGGUCCGGCUAACUUCGUGCCAGCAGCCGCGGUAAUACGAAGGGACCUAGCGUAGUUCGGAAUUACUGGGCUUAAAGAGCUCGUAGGUGGUUAAAAUAGUUGAUGGUGAAAUCCCAAGGCUCAACCUUGGAACUGCCAUCAAAACUUUUUAGCUAGAGUGUGAUAGAGGUAAGUGGAAUUUCUAGUGUAGAGGUGAAAUUCGUAGAUAUUAGAAAGAACACCAAAUGCGAAGGCAACUUACUGGGUCACUACUGACACUGAGGAGCGAAAGCAUGGGUAGCGAAGAGGAUUAGAUACCCUCGUAGUCCAUGCCGUAAACGAUGUGUGCUAGACGUUGGAAAUAUAUUUUUCAGUGUCGCAGCGAAAGCAUUAAGCACACCGCCUGGGGAGUACGACCGCAAGGUUAAAACUCAAAUGAAUUGACGGGGACCCGCACAAGCAGUGGAGCAUGUGGUUUAAUUCGAAGAUACGCGCAGAACCUUACCAACGCUUGACAUGUUCGUCGCGAGACUAAGAGAUUAGUCUCUUCAGUUCGGCUGGACGAAACACAGGUGCUGCAUGGCUGUCGUCAGCUCGUG